RNAcentral lists this ribosomal RNA (467 nucleotides) under Bifidobacterium animalis subsp. lactis. RNAcentral describes it as "bacterial SSU rRNA". It matches the Rfam family "Bacterial small subunit ribosomal RNA", at positions 196 to 666 of the family's 1533-position model. Lineage: Bacteria; Bacillati; Actinomycetota; Actinomycetes; Bifidobacteriales; Bifidobacteriaceae. The record is from RNAcentral.
GGGGUGGGAUGCUUUUGCGGCAUGGGAUGGGGUCGCGUCCUAUCAGCUUGUUGGCGGGGUGAUGGCCCACCAAGGCGUUGACGGGUAGCCGGCCUGAGAGGGUGACCGGCCACAUUGGGACUGAGAUACGGCCCAGACUCCUACGGGAGGCAGCAGUGGGGAAUAUUGCACAAUGGGCGCAAGCCUGAUGCAGCGACGCCGCGUGCGGGAUGGAGGCCUUCGGGUUGUAAACCGCUUUUGUUCAAGGGCAAGGCACGGUUUCGGCCGUGUUGAGUGGAUUGUUCGAAUAAGCACCGGCUAACUACGUGCCAGCAGCCGCGGUAAUACGUAGGGUGCGAGCGUUAUCCGGAUUUAUUGGGCGUAAAGGGCUCGUAGGCGGUUCGUCGCGUCCGGUGUGAAAGUCCAUCGCCUAACGGUGGAUCUGCGCCGGGUACGGGCGGGCUGGAGUGCGGUAGGGGAGACUGGAA